UUCACUUUUUUUAAACAUAUUAAUUAAUUUUUUAAUCUGUUCUUAUCAGUUUAAUACCAGAUAUAUCCUUUAUUUGAGGACUAUAUAUUAAAUUGAUUUUUGAAACUGGGGGAUGGAAUAGGAGCUUGCUCUGUCCAACCCAUGCAUUGACCUGGUAUUGCAAUGACUCUGGGAACAGUGCAUCUCCU
This is a small nuclear RNA of Trachemys scripta elegans, 188 nucleotides long. RefSeq annotates it as U2 spliceosomal RNA. The record is from RefSeq and is a predicted model, not a curated record. The transcript has a single exon. NCBI's taxonomy places the organism in Eukaryota, Metazoa, Chordata, Testudines, Emydidae.